GCAAUGAGGAUACAGACAGGGAUUGAGCCAAGGCGAUGCGAGGCGCGCGAUUCAAUCUACCGGAGUUGCAGGUGCGCGAUGGGAUCGGCCGGGGGCACCCACUACCACUCAUAUCCUCGUCGGCUUCUCCCUUCCCUCAGGCCUUCCAUGCCCUCAUCCGCCCAUCCACCCCCGGCGGCUCCAGGAGGAGCACCACAACCGCAGGCAUCGGCGGCGGCACGCCAUCCACACCGCGCUCGCGCUCCACCGGCGGCCCCUUCAGUCCCGAGCCCAACUUGCCGCCGUCGGCUGCGGCGGCCAGGCCGCGCCUCUCCUUCCACCUAGGCUGCUUCCACCGGUCCCGAGAUCCGCCGACAUCAACCCGUCGUCCAGCACCGGGUGCCUAAGAUCGGCACGCCUCCUACCGAUGUAUUUUCAUAUGGCUGAAAGAAUCAACUGCUAGAGAUUUCAGAAAUUGUUCAACUGCGUAGUUUUUGGUUAUGUCUUUUUCGAUCAGCGACCCGGACCAGUGCCAUGGCAACUAGUGUGUCCCCCUACCACGACCUUCAACUUGAGUGGCAGAUCCCACCAUGACUUGGCAGUGCCGCUGGUGGAACCGGCGUCCCUAGGCGAGCAAUCAUCCAGAUGGCCGUCACGCUUCCGCCCAACAGAGAUGGAGAAAGGAGCUGAUUGCAGGGCACUAAAAUAUAUCUUGGCUGCCAAAGCUCCGUGAUCACUUACAAAUAUAUAUUAUCCAUGUAGGCUGGGUUAUUUGGGAUCAAUUACAACAAGGCACUUGGAUAUUGUUUAUAAAGGUGGCAUAUUUUGUCAAUUUAUAUACUUUAACAUCAAUGUGUUGAUUUAUUCAUGCUAUUUUGAUGAGGAUGGCAUCAAUGCCAGUUCAUGGCUAUGCAAGGCAUCAAUGCUUGAUGAUUGGUCAUACAGUGACGUGUUACUCAUUGGGGCCUUAAUUUGCAACAGAAGUAGAUGCAAUAAGCUCUGAAAACUAAAUUGUAUUUGCUCAUAUGACACGAAGGCAAUGGGAAUUUCUUCGUGGGUGUUGAUCAUGCUUGGCUUUCCCUGAGCUCCAACUAUUCAUGCUACUGCAUAUGAUAUCCAAUAGCUAUAGAUGUUGCCAUCAUUAUGCUAUUAGACAUAAUCUGGAUUACUCCCCUUUGAAAGGGUACAAUAUUUUUUUUAGUUCUUGUAACUUUCUGUAAUGUUGUGACAGAAAUAAAUUGUAAAUUCUCCACUUUGAUUACUACCCAAUUAUGGGUAAGUUUAUGCAAAUUUAAUAUUCAUGUUU
This is a long non-coding RNA of Triticum dicoccoides, 1285 nucleotides long. RefSeq lists it as uncharacterized. The record is from RefSeq and is a predicted model, not a curated record. Lineage: Eukaryota; Viridiplantae; Streptophyta; Magnoliopsida; Poales; Poaceae. The transcript has 4 exons.